Long non-coding RNA from Chenopodium quinoa (quinoa), 238 nucleotides. RefSeq lists it as uncharacterized. The transcript has 2 exons. NCBI's taxonomy places the organism in Eukaryota, Viridiplantae, Streptophyta, Magnoliopsida, Caryophyllales, Amaranthaceae. The record is from RefSeq and is a predicted model, not a curated record.
ACCACAACAAACAUCACCGCCGCCUAAAAUCAGAAAUUUGAGGUCGUGAAUUUGCUGAGUAUGAAGUUCGAAGUUUCUGGGUUGUAAAAUAACAAAUUCAGUAAUUGCUCUGUUUUUUUAAAUAAAUUGUAAAAUAAUAAUUUAUUUGAUGAAUAUAGCCUUGUUCGAUUUAUUGUUUUGGAUUGUAUGCUGAAAUUGGAUUGAUGAAUAAAUUGUAUGCUGAAAUAAAUUUUUUUUU